Molecule: ribosomal RNA, 301 nt
Filed under: uncultured bacterium
Lineage: Bacteria
Description: partial 16S ribosomal RNA
Rfam family: Bacterial small subunit ribosomal RNA
Source: RNAcentral
CAGCAGCCGCGGGAAUACGUAGGGUGCAAGCGUUAAUCGGAAUUACUGGGCGUAAAGCGUGCGCAGGCGGUUUUGUAAGACAGAGGUGAAAUCCCCGGGCUCAACCUGGGAACUGCCUUUGUGACUGCAAGGCUGGAGUGCGGCAGAGGGGGAUGGAAUUCCGCGUGUAGCAGUGAAAUGCGUAGAUAUGCGGAGGAACACCGAUGGCGAAGGCAAUCCCCUGGGCCUGCACUGACGCUCAUGCACGAAAGCGUGGGGAGCAAACAGGAUUAGAUACCCCCGUAGUCCCUGUCCCUUAUAC